Non-coding RNA from Mus musculus (house mouse), 223 nucleotides. The record is from the annotation of a RefSeq genome assembly. Lineage: Eukaryota; Metazoa; Chordata; Mammalia; Rodentia; Muridae.
AUGACUUCCCUUUCUCAGCUUCUGGGGAUGCUUAUGCUCCAGAGUCUUAGAGACACUGGUGAUGACCCAGGCUGCUUUCUCCAUACCUGUCACUUCUACAGUGUCAGCUUCCAUCUCCUUCAGGUCUUGUAAAGCUCUGUUACACAGUGAUGCCAAUACUUAUAUGCAAUGGUUCUUUCAAUGACAGGAGAGGCUCCAGAGCUCCUGAUGUAUUGUCUGUACA